AUGAUGACUCUCGGCAACGGAUAUCUCGGCUCUCGCAUCGAUGAAGAACGUAGCGAAAUGCGAUACCUGGUGUGAAUUGCAGAAUCCCGUGAGCCAUCGAGUCUUUGAAUGCAAGUUGCGCCCGAGGCCACCCGGUCGAGGGCACGCCUGCCUGGGCGUCACUC
This 164-nucleotide ribosomal RNA is filed under the name Pinanga philippinensis. RNAcentral describes it as "5.8S rRNA". It matches the Rfam family "5.8S ribosomal RNA". Rfam says of the family: 5.8S ribosomal RNA (5.8S rRNA) is a component of the large subunit of the eukaryotic ribosome. Lineage: Eukaryota; Viridiplantae; Streptophyta; Magnoliopsida; Arecales; Arecaceae. The record is from RNAcentral.